CCUCAGGAAGUAUUGUUGGACACUUAUAACAAUAACACAAUGCUGCCUUAAACAGUUUUUUUUUGUAUGCCUGGCUAGUUGUUAAGUAGAGAAAAAUAAAUCAAGCUAAUAAGUCUUCUUUUGAUUUUUGUCCAAUGGUAUAAGCCCCCAAAGCUUAAACCCUUCCAUCUUACCCCAAAGUGUUUCCGGUCUUGGCAAAAAUACGGACAUAGAACUCUCCGGGCUGGUUGGGUCGGUAAGUGGACGGCACAAUGAUGUAGUGGCCCGGGUCUAGGUGCAGCUUCCUCCAAGUUCCCCUGUGUGACAAACAUAAUGAGUUACAUUUAUGUAGACAAUAUUUUUGCUUAAUAGCUGCCACCAUCAGGGCCAUAUGCAACAGUAAGUACUCUUGAAUACAUUUUAUGGAUUGACUUUGUUGCUUUAUUUGGUUGUCCCUCGGAUGUUGGCAGCCUUGGCCAAAUUAUUGCUAUUUUUUUUGUUGGUGAUAAAGUAUUUUUUUUAUGACGAUCUUCGAAUCUUCCAGAUAACAACAAAAUGUUUAUUGUUUCCAAACUUUAAAAAGUGUGUUCAGAUCAUUAUCUUAUGCUCACAUGUUACAUAAAUGUCAAGGGUUAUGGUACUCAAAUGUCCAUCAAUUAUUCAUUAUCUUCUUCAAACUUUGCAUUCAAUAAAAAGAUACUACUUUUGAGGAACAGAUUUGUGACAUUGAGGUACACAUUUUAAGGGAUUACUCUUGAUUUAGGACACAGUAAGCACACAAUAACCUAAGUUGAAUAUGGCCUACAGUACUAAGUGAAAAUAAUGCAGAUUUUAUUGAACGUUUAUUGAAGAAUUACAAAUUCGAAGUCAUUAUUCUUGAUGAUGGUAUUUUACCUUUGAGCCGUAUAUUUUCCAGAGCGACCCACAGGGCGGUUGGUCAUGAAGAAGUUGCGGCUCAAACACGCACCCUGGAGCUGUAUAAAGACAGAUAUUCAGGAUCCUCCUUUAUAAAUUAUUACUAAGAAUAUUAGAUUAUUGUUUUAUUAUUUUAAGCAGAGAAUGAUUAUUUCUCCAUUGGCCCACCUCAGUAGGAACCUGCAAAUCCAAGAAACACAAAGACAGAUGUUAUUUCUUUCAGGAAACAAUCUAAAUGAAUGAAACCAACAAAUAAAAGUAGAGUGGAUGUGACCUGAAAGAUGUGGAAUGCAAUGUAAAGGAAGUUGAGUUUAUUCUUCUGCCUGCGGUCUUUCUGCAGCAUCUCCACCAGCACGGUGCACUUUUUGGCUUUCUGCUUCUGUUUCUCUGCUCUCUGCUUCUCUUCUGCGGUCAUCAGCUCAUCAUCCUCGUCAUCCUCAUCUUCCUCAUCAUCAUCAUCAUCAUCAUCGUCCAGCUCUGGCUGGUCCUGCUCCAUCAGAACCAACUGGAACUGAGGAUUCUUCCAGAAAGAUCCUGAGGGAACAAAGCAGAGCUUCCCGUUACCCAGAUUCCUUCAUGUUCGGUGAUGUUCCAGAGAGACGGGGAGGCAGGAGAGGAAGAAGACGCAGUGGUGGUUCCCUCCUCAAGAGUGUCAGGAUUCACACUGCAGAGCUCCACGAUGUCAAACAGCUCAAUCCUUUCUUUCUCCUCUUUGGCCACGUCAUCCCACUCCUUACCCCUGCAGCAGCACAAAGAGAAACUGAGUGGGUGAGCUCUUUCUUUAUAAACGGGCACAAACAGGAAGCUUACUCACCUGUCACUCCAGGGUCCGCGAUAUUCGAUAAAACCCCAGGGGUUCCUCAGCCUCAGCAAACAAAUCUCAUUGGACGCUUUCGUCACCUGUAGCGAUGAGAGAAGAAAGUUAUUCUAAAAUAUUGUUUGAUUGUUUUGUACUUGUAAUAAGAGAUGACAUGAGUCAAAAGUUGCCCAAAAUAUAUCCACAAGGUCAUGAGUAACAUUUUUGGAGCAUUUGAUCAUAUCACAGGGUCCUCUGCUGUCCAAGGUCAAGAAUGAGUUUUAUCAUUUUUGAAGGGGCCCUGUUAUGGGUUUUGGGGGUUUCCAUUUCCUGUAGUGUAUUAAAUAGAUUUCAAUGCAUAUAAAUGGUCUGCAUAGACUAAAAUCCCAAAGUUUUUUCUCCCACACACUCCCCCCCUAACUGAAAUGCCUCUUUUGGAAUCCUUUGUUUACUUCCGUAACAUAGUGACAUCAACAUGUAAAACUUGCACUUCUUGCCGGCCAGCUAAUCAUUCAGAGCAGACUGGGAUUUUCAAACAGGGUGAAAUGGGAUACUGCAAAACAGGCAGUAUGAGAAUAAUAAAGACCUUUUUGAACAUUAAAGCUUGUACACAUGUCACAGUAGAGGCACACAAUACAAAUAUCAACCUAAAAUGGGCCUGAUAGGGCCCCUUUAAUUCAACAUACAGAAAAACACCCUAAAGUGAAAAAAGUGAAGGACAUUUUUAAACCUCUUCAAAGACAAAUGGGCAGCAUUAUUCUAGAAGAAGAUCAUGGCAUUCGAUCAAAAGCUUUAGGACAGAUACUGAUGGACUUUGUGUUGAGAUUUCUAUCAACUAUAAUAUAUUACAUUAUGAGAGAUUUUUUUUAAAGAUAUUUUUUGGGGGCUUUUUGCCUUUAAAUGGAUAGGACAGUGGAGAAUGACAGGAAAGUGGGAGAAAGAGUCGGUGUGGGAUCCGGAAAGGACCACGGGUCAGGAAUCGAACCCGGGUCGCCGGCGUACGGUGCAGGUGCCCCAGCCAGUUGCGCCACGGCCGGGGCCAUUAUGAGAGAUUUUUACCAUAAAAAUGCCACGCAAUGUUAAGAUGAGACACAAACUGGGUGGUGGGUUGGAUGAUGAGAAAUUAUUUGACAGGAAAUAACAUGACAUUAAAUUACAUUUCAGUGAGAAUAUAUAGGAAUAAAUAGGAUUAUACUAAUAUGAAAUACAAUGAUGACAUUGUUGUUUAGAAGUCUUUGAGGAAAACUGAGUCAUACUGGCCUUGUCGGUAUCGGUGAUGGCGUAAGCGUGACCUUUUAUCAGCCCGUUUCCUGUCACUUUUCCGAUCUCAAGGUAGCUGCUGGCCUGUGAAGAUAGAGCGAAUAGCUGAAGUGGCUCUAAGGAGCAUGGAGCAUUGCAGAGUGUGUUUUGGGUACCUGGAUGAAGCAACUGAGUAGGCUGCCUCGAGACAGGGCGGCUGUCAGAGACCUCCAGAGGACUCGAGGGGUGCGGGAUGAGACCUGCAGCGAGUAUGCGAUGCCUCCUGUAAAGUCCUCCAUCCCCUCUGAAAUGUUGCCCCCUUUCAGGCUUACAUAGGAUCCGACUAACCUACAUACGAUGACGUGAGAAAGAGUAUAUUUAUCACUGCAGCGACACACACAGAAAAAGAGUGGGUGAUAUUACAUUAGACAUUACAACCCUCAAACAUAUGCUUGGUAGUGGAAACUGACUUGGCGUAGGCCUUCUCCACCAGGGCGCUCCAAUACUCAUUACGGGUGUGAGAGUAGCUGAACAGCAGACGGCCUUCACGCACUGGCAGCCUGUCGUCCACAACCACCUCCACCCACUCACCAUACUGCCAGAACUGCACAGGGAAAGGGAGAGUGAGAUAAAGCAGAAACCAGUGUAAUUGAUCAGCAGGAAGGUUAGUAAGGAGACAAACCUGAACCUAACCAGGCAACAACUUUUUUUGUUGUUGUUGAGUCUUGUUUGUUUCCACCUGAUACAGAGGCUCGCUUAAAAUCCCCCGUGCUUUAAAUAUAUUUUUGAUAUCACAUACAUCACAAGGGUUAUUCAGCAUAACUUAAGGUGUGGUCUGCUGGGGCAGCAGCAUCUCAGCUGCUGAAAGGAAAGACUAAACAGGCUGGGAAAGUCCUGGGGAGUCCUCUGGACAAUGUGGAGGUGGUGGGAGACAGGAGAAUGGUAGCCAAGCUGUCCUCCCUACUUGACGAUGUGUCCCACCCCCUCCAGGACACCCUGUCCGCACUGUGAAGCUCCUUCAGUGACAGGCUGUUGUACGCACGGUGUCUCACUGAGAGACCACAUGUCCUUCCUUCCUGCAGCGAUCAGACUUCAUAACCAUCAGGGCCUCUGGUAGACCCCGACACAAUACAGACUGUGUUUCUUGUGUAAUAAAACGGCAAUGUGCGAUAAAGACUUUUCAACACCUUACAUUACAUACGUCACUAAAUUCUGAAAUUGCUGUUCGGUUUUACUCUAGUAAAACUAUUGUGUGCUUUUCUUCUGUGUAUUAUUGUUAGCUCAUUCUUGAUUACUGCAUGCCUUUUUAUUUUUUUAUCCGUGAUGCCACUUUUUUUUCCAUGCCACUUGCUGCAACAAUGUAGAUUUUGCCACUGUGGGACUAAUAAAGGAUUUGUAAUUCUGAUUCUGAUAAUCUCUGGUCAAUACAUUUUCAUUUAUAUGUAUUUAAAGUAGAAAGGUUUUGUUUUCCUCCCUUCAGUUCAGUUUUUUUGUAGUGGAAUAUGUUUGUUGAAUAGUGUUUCUGCUAAUUGUAUCCACCCAUUGGACAUGGACUUAUAU
This is a long non-coding RNA of Eleginops maclovinus (Patagonian blennie), 4489 nucleotides long. RefSeq lists it as uncharacterized. NCBI's taxonomy places the organism in Eukaryota, Metazoa, Chordata, Actinopteri, Perciformes, Eleginopidae. The transcript has 3 exons. The record is from RefSeq and is a predicted model, not a curated record.